RNAcentral lists this unclassified non-coding RNA (248 nucleotides) under plant metagenome. RNAcentral describes it as "partial contains small subunit ribosomal RNA and internal transcribed spacer 1". The stretch from base 1 to 46 matches the Rfam family "Eukaryotic small subunit ribosomal RNA", at positions 1786 to 1831 of the family's 1831-position model. The record is from RNAcentral.
AAGUCGUAACAAGGUUUCCGUAGGUGAACCUGCGGAAGGAUCAUUAAAAAGUGAUUGGUUAUACAUUUCAUGUAUCAACUGUCAUUAACCCAUUCCAGAGUACCCUUCGCCUGUUGCUUCCAUUGGGGCCUCGAGCCUACGUGCACUCUUGUGAUGUGAAACCCAAGAGAGUCCCCCAUGGGAGGUAAUCAUUAAAUUUCAUGUAUCCAAUGUCUUCUGUCUGAACUGUUUAUAACAAAUGUUAAAAA